Molecule: long non-coding RNA, 2288 nt
Organism: Cavia porcellus (domestic guinea pig)
Lineage: Eukaryota; Metazoa; Chordata; Mammalia; Rodentia; Caviidae
Exons: 6
Source: RefSeq, a predicted model, not a curated record
GCAGCCGCCGUGAACUGCAUCCCAGCCAUGCCUGCCUGCCUUGUAGCAACUGAGUGUGGACUAAAACCUCCAAAAACUCUUGCUGUUUGCAGCUUCCAGGAACUGCAGCCCUGCCAUAUCAGCCUGCCUUGGAGCCAAAUGAGUAUGGACUGAAACCUCCAAAAACUGUUUCCAUGGACAGACCAUCCAUAUAAGUUUUCAGGGAGAUGUCAUCACUGCUGAAUUUGUUGCCGGAUGAUCUACUUGGACUUGCUGCUGAAUAAGAUUGAGAGCUCAUAAUCCAUGGUCCCCAUUAAGGUAUCCUUCUCUCAGAGCCCCAACUCUCACUGGGGGUCUCAGCAGGCAACUUGCCGAGCCAUCCAAGGUCCUGCUACUUUGACUCACUGGAGGCGAAGUCACACUGAAGUUGGGGGUCAGCCAGCCGAAUGGACAGCUGAGCUGGCGGGGAUCCUGCAUUGACUUGUGAAUGUGAAUGAAGAAGCAGGGGUACAAACAAAAGAACUACAAAGACUAUUCACAGAAAUAAUUAAGGAAAACUUCCCAAACAUAGGAAAAGGAAAUGAUAUUCAGAUCUAUGAUGCAUACAGAACUCCAGUCACCUACAAUCAAAACAAAGCUACACCCAGACAUAUAAUAAUCAAGAUUCCAGAAAUUUCAUAUAAGAACAGAAUAUUAAAAGCUGUUAGAAGCAAAAAACAGAUAACCUACAGAGGAAGGCCCAUCAUAAUAACAGCAUACUUCUCGACACAAACCAUCAAGUCAAGAAGAGCCUGUAACAAAAUAUUCAAAGGACUGAAAGAAAAUAACCUCCAACCCAGAUGGAUAUACCCUGCUAAACUCUAUCUAGAAAUUAAUGGAAAAACAAGACGCUUCCAAGACAAAGAGGAACUUGGGAAAUUCUCAACCAUCAAUCCAGCUCUACAGAGAAUACUCCAGGGCUUUCUAGAGAGAGAGAAAAGUACCAGGAUUCAAGGAACAGUCACAGAGAAUCCUCAGUGAACAGAGAAGAAAACAGAAUGAAGAAGAAAAGCAGGAAACUGAUGGCAAAAAAGAACAUAACAGAAAUGAGGCAGAGAAGAUUUUAUUCAAAACUGAUAUGAUUGAUAGUAUCAAGUCUGAGAGUAUAGGCAACUACACUGAAGAUGACAACACUUUACGAUACACAUUCUGGUUUGAUAAUUGCCUGCUUUUGAAGUUUUAUACUAUAUACAAAGUUCUGUUUUUAUUAAUACUGUUAUGUACUGAUAUAUUCAAUUAUACUAUGUCUGAUGAUAUAGCCAAUUCUAUUGAAGAUAACAAGAGACAACACAGGAACUAUGGUAGAACUCCUUGUACAAUGGUCUUAUAUGUGUUUUGUGUUUCAUGUGUUAAUAAGAAUAUGUUUUGUCUUGCUUUCUUUUGUUUCUCCCUCUAACAUAGAAAGGAUAGAAAUACAUGUUAAGACUCAUAUACGUGUAGAAUCCAGAAACAGUUUAUGAGAACUGAUCUUAUGACACAUGAUGAAAUGAACAAAUACUUUGAAGAAAAAGAGACACUAAAAUACCCAGUGCUGAUCCUGGAGGGUCUUAAUGUGAAACCCAGCAAUAGUACUAUUCUUUGUUUAGGGUGAUAUUAGACUGCUUGGGUUUGUCCAAUUUCAACAUAAUUGAAAAUAUGGAUAAUUGCAUGUAUGUUUAAGUGCACAGGAUUGAUAACCAUAUUUCUAAGUCUUUGAUGGAUAGUUGGACAGAACUGUUUGCAGUAUCACUGUUUGAAUCCCCACUUUAUAUGCUUCACUUUAGUAUCUUGAAUAACUAUUUGUAAGAGGACAAUCUGUAAUCAUCAACUAGUGUUUUCUUGCUGUUUAUUUUUUUCUUUGCAAGUAUGUAUUAUUUCUACCAAUUUUCAAUUUUGUUUAGUCUUUCUUUAAAUAAAAUUAAAAAGAAAUGACACUAUAGUACCCAGUGCUGAUCCCAGAGUGUCAUGAUGUGAAAUACAGCAAUACUAUUAUUUUUUUUCAGAAUGACUUUAGCCUGCUUUAGUUUGUUUAAUCCCAAAAUAAAUGAUGAUAUGGAUAACUGCAUGUAUGUUUAAGUGUAUAGGAUUGACAACAAUAUUACUAAGUUUUUGUUGGAUAGUUGAACAGAACUGCUUGCAGUCUCGCUGUUUGAAUUCCCACUUUAUAUCUUGAACAGCUAUUGUAAAACGGCAGUCUGUAAACAUUAACUAGUGAUUUCUUACUGUUCAUUUUUUUUCUCUGAACAUAUGUAUUAUUUCUACCCAUUGUCUGUUUUGUUUAGUCUUUCUUU